UUAAUUAAAAAAUUUAAUAAUUUGAAUACUUUAAGGGAUAAGCCUUUAAGUAAAUUAUUAAAAAUUAAUAAUUGUUGAUAUAAAAUGUAUGCUUAGAAUUAGUAAUCAUUAAUAAGUUUGUUAUAAAUUAUUUUAUGGGUUAUAUUAUUUAUUUUGUUUUAAUUUUUUUAUAAAAAUUUUUUUAUUAAUAGGAUAUAAAAAGAAAUAAUGGUAGAAUUAGUAUAUUUUGUUGUGUUAAUAAAUAUGUGUGAUAAGUUUAUAUAAAGAACUCGGCAAAUUUUUUACCCGCCUGUUUAACAAAAACAUGUCUUUUUGAGUUAUUUUUAAAGUCUGACCUGCCCACUGAGUUUUAAAUGGCCGCAGUAUUUUAACUGUGCAAAGGUAGCAUAAUCA
Molecule: ribosomal RNA, 393 nt
Filed under: Dacus punctatifrons
Lineage: Eukaryota; Metazoa; Arthropoda; Insecta; Diptera; Tephritidae
Description: partial 16S ribosomal RNA
Source: RNAcentral